RNAcentral lists this ribosomal RNA (468 nucleotides) under uncultured bacterium. Its description in RNAcentral is "partial 16S ribosomal RNA". It matches the Rfam family "Bacterial small subunit ribosomal RNA", at positions 28 to 507 of the family's 1533-position model. The record is from RNAcentral.
GACGAACGCUGGCGGCGUGCUUAACACAUGCAAGUCGAACGGAAAGGCCCUGCUUUUGUGGGGUGCUCGAGUGGCGAACGGGUGAGUAACACGUGAGUAACCUGCCCUUGACUUUGGGAUAACUUCAGGAAACUGGGGCUAAUACCGGAUAGGAGCUCCUGCUGCAUGGUGGGGGUUGGAAAGUUUCGGCGGUUGGGGAUGGACUCGCGGCUUAUCAGCUUGUUGGUGGGGUAGUGGCUUACCAAGGCUUUGACGGGUAGCCGGCCUGAAAGGGUGACCGGCCACAUUGGGACUGAGAUACGGCCCAGACUCCUACGGGAGGCAGCAGUGGGGAAUAUUGCACAAUGGGCGGAAGCCUAAUGCAGCAACGCCGCGUGCGGGAUGACGGCCUUCGGGUUGUAACCCGCUUUCGCAUGUGACGAAGCGUGAGUGGCGGUAAUGGGUAAAGAAGCACCGGCUAACUACGUG